AGGCGGCGUCCCAGUUCUGGCCUGACGCUCAGACACGAAAGCAUGGGGAGCGAACGGGAUUAGAAACCCCGGUAGUCCAUGCCGUAAACGAUGCAGACUAGGCGUUGGGGGCGUGAAGCCCUCGGUGCCGAAGCAAACGCGCUAAGUCUGCCGCCUGGGGACUACGACCGCAAGGUUAAAACUCAAAGGAAUUGACGGGGGCCCGCACAAGCAGCGGAGCGUGUGGUUUAAUUCGAGGCUACACGAAGAACCUUACCUAGGUUUGACAUGGGAGUGGUAGGGAAGCGAAAGCGGACCGACCCUUCGGGGAGCUUCCACAGGUGCUGCAUGGCUGUCGUCAGCUCG
Molecule: ribosomal RNA, 345 nt
Filed under: bacterium enrichment culture clone 7(2010)
Lineage: Bacteria
Description: bacterial SSU rRNA
Rfam family: Bacterial small subunit ribosomal RNA
Source: RNAcentral